AGAGGAUAGCGUUUCACUCCCGGUCGAUUCACACCCGCACUCGCGCCGCUCUCCUCACUCCUCUCAUCUUUCCUGCAAACAGAUCUCGCCGCCUCGCGAGCACAUCGCCGGCGCGCAUCCUCACCGCGCAGAGAUAGAUGACAACAGCAAGACCCGAGAUACACUGAAGCUUGUGGCGCUGAAGCUUCAAGGUUUACAAUUGGAUUUGUGGUUAUCUAAUAUGUGAACUCUGGUAUGUGUUGGACUGUAAUAUGGACGUGGCUCUAUAAUAUAUGAACUCUUUAGAUGUACUUGGACUGGAUACUUGAUUUAUGUGCACUCUUUAUUAUCCUGAUGCAUUUCUCUAGCUAUUUUGUACCAUAAACUGCUUAUGUGUAUAAAAAUUGUUGAUAUACUUAUAAAAACAACCAAGAUGCUG
Molecule: ribosomal RNA, 418 nt
Filed under: Triticum aestivum (bread wheat)
Lineage: Eukaryota; Viridiplantae; Streptophyta; Magnoliopsida; Poales; Poaceae
Description: partial small subunit ribosomal RNA
Source: RNAcentral